Small nuclear RNA from Mastomys coucha (southern multimammate mouse), 106 nucleotides. NCBI's taxonomy places the organism in Eukaryota, Metazoa, Chordata, Mammalia, Rodentia, Muridae. The record is from RefSeq and is a predicted model, not a curated record.
GUGCACCCUUAGGCAGCAUGUAUACUCAAGCCAAAAUGAUGCAGAGAAGAUCAGCAUGACCUCUGUGAAGGAUGACACACAAACUCAUGAAACGUUCCAUAUUUUU